This 487-nucleotide ribosomal RNA is filed under the name Pseudonocardia sp. K1B14. Its description in RNAcentral is "bacterial SSU rRNA". It matches the Rfam family "Bacterial small subunit ribosomal RNA", at positions 318 to 813 of the family's 1533-position model. The record is from RNAcentral. Lineage: Bacteria; Bacillati; Actinomycetota; Actinomycetes; Pseudonocardiales; Pseudonocardiaceae.
ACUGAGACACGGCCCAGACUCCUAACGGGAGGCAGCAGUGGGGGAAUAUUGCGCAAUGGGCGGAAAGCCUGACGCAGCGACGCCGCGUGGGGGAUGACGGCCUUCGGGUUGUAAACCUCUUUCGCCAGGGACGAAGAGCAAUUGACGGUACCUGGAGAAGAAGCACCGGCCAACUACGUGCCAGCAGCCGCGGUAACACGUAGGGUGCGAGCGUUGUCCGGAAUUAUUGGGCGUAAAGAGCUCGUAGGCGGUGUGUCGCGUCGGCCGUGAAAACUUGGGGCUUAACUCUGAGCGUGCGGUCGAUACGGGCAUCACUUGAGUUCGGCAGGGGAGACUGGAAUUCCUGGUGUAGCGGUGAAAUGCGCAGAUAUCAGGAGGAACACCGGUGGCGAAGGCGGGUCUCUGGGCCGAUACUGACGCUGAGGAGCGAAAGCGUGGGGAGCGAACAGGAUUAGAUACCCUGGUAGUCCACGCCGUAAACGUUGGG